UACGUAGGGGGCAAGCGUUGUCCGGAAUCAUUGGGCGUAAAGAGCGUGUAGGCGGUUCGGUAAGUCGGCUGUGAAAGUCCAGGGCUCAACCCUGGGAUGCCGGUCGAUACUGCCGGACUAGAGUUCGGAAGAGGCGAGUGGAAUUCCUGGUGUAGCGGUGAAAUGCGCAGAUAUCAGGAGGAACACCGGUGGCGAAGGCGGAUCUCUGGGCCAUUACUGACGCUGAGGAGCGAAAGCGUGGGGAGCGAACAGG
This 253-nucleotide ribosomal RNA is filed under the name uncultured bacterium. RNAcentral's name for it is "partial 16S ribosomal RNA". It matches the Rfam family "Bacterial small subunit ribosomal RNA", at positions 524 to 776 of the family's 1533-position model. The record is from RNAcentral.